This 459-nucleotide ribosomal RNA is filed under the name uncultured bacterium. RNAcentral's name for it is "partial 16S ribosomal RNA". It matches the Rfam family "Bacterial small subunit ribosomal RNA", at positions 338 to 795 of the family's 1533-position model. The record is from RNAcentral.
CCUACGGGUGGCUGCAGUGAGGAAUAUUGGUCAAUGGGCGAGAGUCUGAACCAGCCAAGUCGCGUGAAGGAUGACUGCCCUAUGGGUUGUAAACUUCUUUUGUCGGGGAGCAAAAGACGCUACGCGUGGGGUGCCGAGUGUACCAGAAGAAAAAGCAUCGGCUAACUCCGUGCCAGCAGCCGCGGUAAUACGGAGGAUGCGAGCGUUAUCCGGAUUUAUUGGGUUUAAAGGGUGCGCAGGCGGACUGUUAAGUCAGCGGUAAAAUUUAGAGGCUAAACCUCGUAGUGCCAUUGAAACUGGUGGUCUUGAGUAAGGGCGAGGUAGGCGGAAUGCGUGGUGUAGCGGUGAAAUGCAUAGAUAUCACGCAGAACUCCGAUUGCGAAGGCAGCAUACCGGCGCUAAACUGACGCUGAUGCACGAAAGCGUGGGUAGCGAACAGGAUUAGAUACCCUUGUAGUC